Molecule: ribosomal RNA, 376 nt
Filed under: uncultured organism
Description: partial 16S ribosomal RNA
Rfam family: Bacterial small subunit ribosomal RNA
Source: RNAcentral
GAACUGCGCAAACGUUAUUCGGAAUCACUGGGGCUUAAAGAGUCCGUAGGCGGCUCGGCAGGUGAGGGUGUGAAAUCCCACGGGCUCAACCGUGGGAAUUGCGCUUCAAACCGCCGGGCUAGAGGGAGAUAGAGGAGAGCGGAACUGAUGGUGGAGCGGUGAAAUGCGUUGAUAUCAUCAGGAACACCGGUGGCGAAAGCGGCUCUCUGGGUCUCUUCUGACGCUGAGGGACGAAAGCUAGGGGAGCGAACGGGAUUAGAUACCCCGGUAGUCCUAGCUGUAAACGAUGAGCACUAGAUCGAGGGGACUCCCACAUCCUCUUGGUCGGAGCGAAAGUGUUAAGUGCUCCGCCUGGGGAGUAUGGUCGCAAAGGCUG